Ananas comosus (pineapple) is the source of this 748-nucleotide long non-coding RNA. RefSeq lists it as uncharacterized. Lineage: Eukaryota; Viridiplantae; Streptophyta; Magnoliopsida; Poales; Bromeliaceae. The record is from RefSeq and is a predicted model, not a curated record. The transcript has 2 exons.
UUCAAACGGAUAUUCGGGGAGCUCCGGCGAAAGUUAUCAGAUUUCAAGCUGCCCUGAAUGAAUAGUGUUUUGAGGGACUUAAUCCCUCUCCUCCCCCAACCGUGCGCCACCCACACCGCAGCCACCACACGCACACACGCAUUGAGAGAGGGAGUAAGAGAGCCCUCCCUUUCCCUCUCUAAAUCUCUCCCAAAAGAGUGGGUUUUGGUGGAGAUUGAAGCUCAAGGAUGGAUUUUCAUCUUCUCCAUCUUCUUCCUUGCAUGAGAAGCAAGCUUUGAAGGUAACGAAACGCGUUGGCGAAGACAGUUCGGCAAUCCGACGAGCCGUUACAAAGUUAUUAAAGAAAUGGACGUUUAGGCUUCGUUUUCGCCGGGAGGGCCGAGGCGAUGUCAUAAAAUCGUGGAGAUAGAUUUGCACCGUGGCACAUAAUCGAGGACCUAUAAUUUUCGGGGCUGCGAAGCGGAGCACGGUUGAGGCACAGUUGCGAUAUCGGGCCGUGCCGGAUACGGGUGCCGCAGGAGGCCGAUUACAAGUGUCGACAAGCAAUCGGAACGCGAGUUAAGGUGGGUUGUGCUUACCGAAGCGACUAGGUCGCCUUUAUGUCUAAGCAAAUUAAGAAUCCAUGUUGAUGCAUAUAGAUGUAAAUGAAGUAUGAAAAUGAUGCAUGUUAAUGUAAAUGCCAAGUAGAAAUGCGUAAUGAUAAGAUGCAAGUUAAAUAAUGCUAGAUGAAUGCAUGAGUUAAUUGUUA